GUUUUUAUUUGUUGUGCUUUGACUUGAGCUACACAGGAUUCAGUGCCCCAUUUUUUUCUGAAUGGCCAGAUCCUUGAACCAUUCAUGGUCCCAUCUAUCAGGACAAUCUCGUGAGAGUCAUCAUCUUGAACCUGAUUUGUUAUUUUCUAAAGCUAGAAGAAAAAGAUUAAUUUAGGACUAGAAAAGAAAAACUGAACUUCGCUCACUCCUCCUCCAAUAACUAGCUUUAUGUUGGCAGGCUUAUCUGUUCCUUUCUGUCAGCUCCAGUUAAUUCAGACAUAAAACAGGUAUGGUAAUGUGAUUGUUUUGA
This 310-nucleotide long non-coding RNA is filed under the name Vulpes vulpes (red fox). RNAcentral's name for it is "lncRNA (ENSVVUG00000010916.1)". The record is from RNAcentral. Lineage: Eukaryota; Metazoa; Chordata; Mammalia; Carnivora; Canidae.